This 440-nucleotide ribosomal RNA is filed under the name uncultured bacterium. Its description in RNAcentral is "bacterial SSU rRNA". It matches the Rfam family "Bacterial small subunit ribosomal RNA", at positions 338 to 795 of the family's 1533-position model. The record is from RNAcentral.
CCUACGGGGGGCUGCAGUGGGGAAUAUUGCACAAUGGGGGAAACCCUGAUGCAGCAACGCCGCGUGAGCGAUGAAGGCCUUCGGGUCGUAAAGCACUGUCCUAAGGGAAGAAUACUGACGGUACCUUAGGAGGAAGCCCCGGCUAACUACGUGCCAGCAGCCGCGGUAAUACGUAGGGGGCUAGCGUUAUCCGGAAUUACUGGGCGUAAAGGGCGCGUAGGCGUCCCUGCAAGUCAGAGGUGAAAGAGUACGGCUCAACCGUAGUAAGCCGUUGAAACUGUAGGGCUUGAGGGCAGGAGAGGAAAGUGGAAUUCACGGUGAAGCGGGGUAAGGCGUAGAUAUUGAGAGGGACACCAAUUGCGAAGGAGGAUCUCUGGACUGUAACUGACGCUGAGGCACGAAAGCGUGGGGAGCGAACAGGAUUAGAUACCCGAGUCGUC